UUACUUCUGCUAUUUUUCUGUCUAGGAAAAAGUGAUUAAAAGAGACAGCGGGAUCAAGGUGCUUUAGACUUGUCCAUGUGAAGAAAUGGAUUAUCCAAGGGAGGCUGUGGAUUCCUCUUAGUCAUCUAUACUAAUGCAAACAGCAGUCCUCAUUCAAUGCAUAGAAGGCUUUUAUGAAGUUGUAAGGCAGUGAGCUUUAGGUGUUUUCCAGAUGAAGUAUUGGACCA
Lonchura striata (white-rumped munia) is the source of this 227-nucleotide non-coding RNA. The record is from RefSeq and is a predicted model, not a curated record. Lineage: Eukaryota; Metazoa; Chordata; Aves; Passeriformes; Estrildidae.